Molecule: transfer RNA, 68 nt
Filed under: Vasticardium flavum
Lineage: Eukaryota; Metazoa; Mollusca; Bivalvia; Cardiida; Cardiidae
Description: tRNA-Leu
Rfam family: tRNA
About the family: Transfer RNA (tRNA) molecules are approximately 80 nucleotides in length. Their secondary structure includes four short double-helical elements and three loops (D, anti-codon, and T loops).
Source: RNAcentral
CAUAGGGUAGUAGAAAGAAUUAUACCGGAUUUAGGAUCCGGUGGUGGAGGUAGCCUCCCCUUAUGUCC